Cloeon dipterum is the source of this 1845-nucleotide long non-coding RNA. RefSeq lists it as uncharacterized. The transcript is spliced from 5 exons. The record is from RefSeq and is a predicted model, not a curated record. NCBI's taxonomy places the organism in Eukaryota, Metazoa, Arthropoda, Insecta, Ephemeroptera, Baetidae.
AAGAAGAAGUAGAAGUUGAGGCUGCUUCAGAACCACAGGACACACAUGAAAAAGUGGAAAGUCGCGUCGUGGCCAACGCGGAGGAAGAACCGCAUUCUGGAGAAUCGCAAACGCCAAAAUCAGGUGGCGAGGAUUUUUCUGUAUCUCAGUCGAAUUUAUUUGACUUGUUGCAUGCGAUCGUGUGUCGGCACAGUGACAUAAGCAUCGAAACGAUAACAGAAGAUCCUGCCCAGUGCAUUCCGCGAUGCCGCGAAGCGAAGAUUCUGUUGAGGCACUCAGUGCAAUGCGAAGCGAACAAGAACGAGCAUUGUAACUAUUCAGAAAAGUGCUUGGUAUAUCGCGCAUUGUUAGGCCACUGGGUCAUGUGCUACAUUUCAGACUGUAAAAUAUGUUCGUCUAAGGAAGUAGGGAAAAUAUCUAGAGACUACUUCAUAGCGACGAAGGCUACAUUAGCUGCCAACAAGUAAUGAGAUUUUAAUGCCAUAUUCUUAAAGGCUCAUUGAAACCACGUUUUUGUUCCAAUCAAUUCUUGAUGGGCCAAAUAGGUGAUGUAAAUAAUUAUUUCCAUAAAAAUUUGUUGUGACGUGCGAGCAGAGGUGAAAAGCAAAACGCACUUUGCUUUGGCGCACGGGACGCAUGAACCUUUUGGUCACUACUGCGCAAGCGUUACCCCUCCGACGUCACAGCUGCCAAUGCCUUGCAUCUUAGUGGGGGUGACGCUUGCGCAGUAGCAAUCAAAAGGUUCGUGCGUUGCGCGCGCUUAAGAAACGUGCGUUUUGCUUUGCGCCUCUGCUCGCACCUCAGGAAUCGAUUGGAAUAUGAAAAUGUGGGAUUCAGUUGUUCUUUAAAAGGUGUUUUUGGUGUUUUCCUUAGUGACUGUAAAUCUUCAUAUGGUUCAAAUUUAGGAAGAUUCCGCUCAAGUUUAAACAUUAACUGCAGAUAAUUUAUUUCCACUCUGUUUUACACUUAUUUAGAGGUGAAAUUUCAAAUCGUCCUUCUCUGCCUGAUAAAAGUAAAAGUCGCGGCGACCGCACAAAAACUGUGAAACAAGAGGCAAAGACUUCUAUGCCACCGCAGUUAGCUGACUUCAAACUUUUAGGACAAGCGAUUGGCGGCACUGAAUGUAUUGAAGCCAGCUCUAGAGGCACGACGUCUGUCGGAGAUACCGAUCUUCGUGAGAUGGAAAUGGCACAAAUGGUACAAAUGGCACAAAUGAUACCGCAUGCCAGGGAUUGCAUGCAACACCCGAAGAUGAAAGGCGGACGGAAACAGAAGUGUUUGAAAAAGAACUGCGAAAGUGUGAAAUCAGCGUUAAAUCACAAGAAUGGGUGCCCGCAGUCGUGUAAACAGGAGAAUAUUUGCAGCAAGGUUCGCGAAAUAGAUGAAAUGAUGAAGACGAGAUAUUCAUAGAGGCAUUCUACGCAAUUUAUUCGAAAUUCAGAUAAUUUUGAUUGUACAAGCAUAAUCCAUGGAUUCAUUCCAUUUAUUGAUCUUGAAUCAAACGACUUGGCUCCCAAAGUACCUUGAAUUGAAUUGUGUGUGAAGUCCAAUACAAUUUUACAAUACGUGAACUGCAUUUUUUAUAUUUUUUUAUUUGUUGAUUUUAAUUUAAUUCGAUCCUUAUUCCUCUGCUAUGCUCUUAAAAUUCAUAACUUUUUUCACGUGCUUCAAACGAAAAUCAGUUCAGCCAAUCGCUGUGAAGAACCGGGAAAGCUUUUUCUUAAAAUUGUUUUCACGUUCGCCUAUAUGGAAUUUGGCUUAUCUAAAUAUAGUUUCAAGUAGCAGGACAUGCUCUUGUGGGCACUUCCCGCCACUACAAGUUAAAUAUCAAUAUUGGGAUAGCUC